UGCCCCAUGGCUGAGUUGGUUACAGCGUCCGACUGUUAUAGCCCAGGUCCUCCAGUAUCUAUACUGCAAAUACAAUCGGAAGGUCGUGAGUUCGAGCCUCACUGGGGCAG
Non-coding RNA from Marasmius sp. AFHP31, 110 nucleotides. The record is from the annotation of a GenBank genome assembly. Lineage: Eukaryota; Fungi; Basidiomycota; Agaricomycetes; Agaricales; Marasmiaceae.